CCUGCACCCCGAAUAUGACUCUGGAUAUGGAAUGAUGUCAAAUCCAAUAUCAUACUCAUAUUUCUCUUAAUCUUAUAUGAUGAUUCAAUUAAUAAAAUAUUAGAAACUCUUUCUAAUUUUUAUUUUACUUUGAUCAAAGACUUCCUGAAUCAUCAAUCGAUCAGAACAAGUAGGAUGCGAUUUCCUCUUACCAGGAGUGAUCGAUUUCAUGUUGACCUACUCACAACCUCCAUACACAUUCUACCAUAUCUAUAAUAUCCCGUACAUGACUAAGUCAUGAAUGAGUAUGAACCAAAAAAUAUGGAUUCAUGUAUACAAGGUUCUAUGGUAGUCUCAGGUCAAAGGAUUACAUGCACAACUCCCACUAUAAGAAAACAUCUCUUGACAGGUAAGUAAAUUCCAUAAGAUGUUUCUUAAGUUGGAUCAAUUCAGUGAACUCAUUCUCUAAUGAGCACCCACUUCCUUGUAUUAGUGUCUCACACAAGUGGCA
This 490-nucleotide long non-coding RNA is filed under the name Elaeis guineensis (African oil palm). Its description in RNAcentral is "long non-coding RNA (EGUI_LNC069236)". Lineage: Eukaryota; Viridiplantae; Streptophyta; Magnoliopsida; Arecales; Arecaceae. The record is from RNAcentral.